GUGCGAAUGGUUUUUAGUUUUAGUGAAUUUUUAAAUGAGACAUGUUGAAUGAAGUGACUUUGAUGACAGAUGAUUUUAAGCCAAGAUUUGUUUAUUUUUCCUGAUGGACCUGCACAUCCAACAUGAUAUAGUCAAGGCCCAUUGAAAAGUAGAAAAUGAAACUGCAGAGCAAGUCGGAUGAAGUGAAGAAGGAGCUGGCUCAAGUGUUUGCAGACAUUGAUUUUGAUGUUGAGAUACCAAGCUCCGGCUCCGGCUCCAGCUCAGCGGUCAUAGCUCUGGCCGUCAUGUUGGCCCUGAGCAUCCUGGGAUUGAUCUUUGCUGUUAUCUUCAUCAUCAUCAGGUUCAAGAGGAAGGGCAAACCAGAGGACAAAGAGAGACUUUCCUUUAGCAGUCACACGAACUGGUCUGUGAACAUCACCGAACCAUCUGAGCGGAAAGAGACGAGGAGUCCAGAUGACGAGCAGCAGAAGACGGACAGACAGACAGAUGAAGAUGGGACGGACAGGGACAGCAUGACGGAUAAAAAGCACAGAGACAGUGACAGUAGUGGAAGCCAAACUUCUUAUGUCUGACCUGAACACAGCAGCUUUCUGUCAAACAGUCUGGAGUCUGCAGCGCCACCAGAAUAAUCACACACUAAUUAUUAGAAACAAGCUGCAUGAAGUCAUUUUCAUUCUGAAAUGGCUCAGAGCAUCACAAACUAAGCUUCUCUAAAGCUGUUUGCACACAAACCUGUACUUCCUGCUUUUUGUUCUUAGAUAAUAAGACUCUGCUUUAUUUAUUUCUUCAGUGACUGCUGAGGUUCAGAUCUGAGUACCCAUUGUGUGAUGUCUUCAUCUUUAAAGUAACUAAAGGAAGAAAAAAGUAUUAAAUGGAAAUAUUCAAGUAAAGUUCAAGUACUUCAAAACUGAAUUUAAUUACAGUAUAUAGUAUGAAUGUAUUUAAAUACUUUCUACCACUUCUCAUCCGUUACCCGGCAAUGUCACUAUUCAUUGUUGUGUUUCUGUCCCCCUGAUUAAUUAACGUUCACUCUCUUUUAGCUCUGUUUUUGUUCUCUAACACCUCCUGAGGGGAAUAUCUGGCUCUUUAACUGCUACAUUCUCCAUCAGCUAGUUUCUAAUUUGCACGUCUGCUGUUUGCUGCUAAAAAUGAAGCUACUGAGCACUGAGUUUUCACAUCAUUUCAUGUAUUAUAAAACAUCUGUACUAGUAGCAUCAAAUGGAGAUCACAAAAUG
Amphiprion ocellaris (clown anemonefish) is the source of this 1235-nucleotide long non-coding RNA. The record is from Ensembl. Lineage: Eukaryota; Metazoa; Chordata; Actinopteri; Pomacentridae.